AGUGAACGCUGGCGGCAUGCCUAACACAUGCAAGUCGAACGGCAGCACAGCAGUAGCAAUACUGUGGGUGGCGAGUGGCGGACGGGUGAGGAACACAUCGGAAUUUGCCCAGGUCGUGGGGGAUAACGUAGGGAAACUUACGCUAAUACCGCAUACGACCUUACGGUGAAAGCGGGGGAUCGCAAGACCUCGCGCGGAUGGAUGAGCCGAUGUCGGAUUAGCUAGUUGGCGGGGUAAAGGCCUACCAAGGCGACGAUCCGUAGCUGGUCUGAGAGGAUGAUCAGCCACACUGGGACUGAGACACGGCCCAGACUCCUACGGGAGGCAGCAGUGGGGAAUAUUGGACAAUGGGGGCAACCCUGAUCCAGCAAUGCCGCGUGUGUGAAGAAGGCCUUCGGGUUGUAAAGCACUUUUAUCCGGAACGAAACGUGCGGGGUGAAUAGCCUCGUAAACUGACGGUACCGGAGGAAUAAGCACCGGCUAACUUCGUG
This 491-nucleotide ribosomal RNA is filed under the name uncultured bacterium. RNAcentral describes it as "bacterial SSU rRNA". It matches the Rfam family "Bacterial small subunit ribosomal RNA", at positions 29 to 507 of the family's 1533-position model. The record is from RNAcentral.